This 198-nucleotide ribosomal RNA is filed under the name uncultured bacterium. RNAcentral's name for it is "partial 16S ribosomal RNA". It matches the Rfam family "Bacterial small subunit ribosomal RNA", at positions 328 to 539 of the family's 1533-position model. The record is from RNAcentral.
ACGCUCGACACCUACUGGAGGCAGCAGUGGGGAAUAUUGCACAAUGGGGGAAACCCUGAUGCAGCGACGCCGCGUGGAGGAAGAAGGUCUUCGGAUUGUAAACUCCUGUUGUUGGGGAAAAAGAGGAUGGUACCCAACAAGGAGGUGACGGCUAACUACGUGUCAGCAGCCGCGGUAAUCUGAGCGGGCUGGCAAGGC